CAGUCGCCGCGGGAAUACGAAGGGUGCAAGCGUUAAUCGGAAUUACUGGGCGUAAAGCGUGCGUAGGCGGUUUGUUAAGUCUGUUGUGAAAUCCCCGGGCUCAACCUGGGAAUGGCAAUGGAUACUGGUAAGCUAGAGUGUGUCAGAGGAUGGUGGAAUUCCCGGUGUAGCGGUGAAAUGCGUAGAGAUCGGGAGGAACAUCAGUGGCGAAGGCGGCCAUCUGGGACAACACUGACGCUGAGGCACGAAAGCGUGGGGAGCAAACAGGAUUAGAUACCCCAGUAGUCCCUGUCUCUUAUAA
This 301-nucleotide ribosomal RNA is filed under the name uncultured bacterium. RNAcentral's name for it is "partial 16S ribosomal RNA". It matches the Rfam family "Bacterial small subunit ribosomal RNA", at positions 509 to 809 of the family's 1533-position model. The record is from RNAcentral.